RNAcentral lists this long non-coding RNA (524 nucleotides) under Olea europaea subsp. europaea. Lineage: Eukaryota; Viridiplantae; Streptophyta; Magnoliopsida; Lamiales; Oleaceae. The record is from RNAcentral.
CUUGAGUCCAUGCUAUUUUAUGAUGUGAAAAUGCCAUCUACAGUUCUGUAGCCUAAUCUGAAUUAUAGAGAUGCAGCACUAUCACAACAAAUGCAAAAUAAAAAAAAUAUUCUGAAUUCACAGUCAACUCCAUUCACCCACAAUUGGGAAUCAAUGAUUGGCUUCCAACUCUUGGAUCUGCCUGUAAUGUAGAACCUAAAAUGGAUGGUACAUUGGAUAGAUGAAAACCUUUCACAGAUGGACUACCCUUCUAGUUGGGGGGUAUUGACUACACCCUUUAUGUCUUUGAGCUAGUAUUUUAGUGGGAAAUGCCGUGCAGGAAUGGUGAUUACAGUGUGCUAGAAAAUUGAGUAACGUAAUUGAAAGCCUAUAGAAAGAUUAUAGAACCCCAGUUUCUCCAUCUGUGAGGACUCAACAUAACACCCAAACGAUUUAUGAAUCACUUCCAUUAUGGUAGCAAUCACGAAGUUUUUUAAAAUUAAAUUUAAUCAUGGUUCAAGAAAGUAACAAGUAAUUCAAGUAUG